This 468-nucleotide ribosomal RNA is filed under the name uncultured bacterium. Its description in RNAcentral is "partial 16S ribosomal RNA". It matches the Rfam family "Bacterial small subunit ribosomal RNA", at positions 28 to 507 of the family's 1533-position model. The record is from RNAcentral.
GACGAACGCUGGCGGCGUGCUUAACACAUGCAAGUCGAACGGAAAGGCCCUGCUUUUGUGGGGUGCUCGAGUGGCGAACGGGUGAGUAACACGUGAGUAACCUGCCCUUGACUUUGGGAUAACUUCAGGAAACUGGGGCUAAUACCGGAUAGGAGCUCCUGCUGCAUGGUGGGGGUUGGAAAGUUUCGGCGGUUGGGGAUCGACUCGCGGCGUAUCAGCUUGUUGGGGGGGUAGUGGCUUACCAAGGCUUUGACGGGUAGCCGGCCUGAGCGGGUGACCGGCCACAUUGGGACUGAGAUACGGCCCAGACUCCUACGGGAGGCAGCAGUGGGGAAUAUUGCACAAUGGGCGGAAGCCUGAUGCAGCAACGCCGCGUGCGGGAUGACGGCCUUCGGGUUGUAAACCGCUUUCGCCUGUGACGAAGCGUGAGUGACGGUAAUGGGUAAAGAAGCACCGGCUAACUACGUG